GUUGUAUGGUUAAGUGACUAAGCGUACACGGUGGAUGCCUGGGCAGUCAGAGGCGAUGAAGGACGUACUAACUUGCGAUAAGCGCAGAUAAGGCAGUAAGAGCCGUUUGAGUCUGCGAUUUCCGAAUGGGGAAACCCAACUGCAUAAGCAGUUACUGUUAACUGAAUACAUAGGUUAACAGAGCAAACCGGGGGAACUGAAACAUCUAAGUACCCCGAGGAGAAGAAAUCAACCGAGAUUCCGGUAGUAGCGGCGAGCGAACCUGGAUUAGCCCUUAAGCACUCGGUGAAGUAGGUGAACAAGCUGGAAAGCUUGGCGAUACAGGGUGAUAGCCCCGUAACCGACGCUUCAUCGAGCGUGAAAUCGAGUAGGGCGGGACACGUGAUAUCCUGUCUGAAUAUGGGGGGACCAUCCUCCAAGGCUAAAUACUCCUGACUGACCGAUAGUGAACCAGUACCGUGAGGGAAAGGCGAAAAGAACCCCUGUGAGGGGAGUGAAAUAGAACCUGAAACCGUGUACGUACAAGCAGUAGGAGCACCUUCGUGGUGUGACUGCGUACCUUUUGUAUAAUGGGUCAGCGACUUAUAUUCAGUGGCAAGGUUAACCGUAUAGGGGAGCCGUAGCGAAAGCGAGUCUUAACUGGGCGCUCAGUCUCUGGAUAUAGACCCGAAACCGGGUGAUCUAGCCAUGGGCAGGUUGAAGGUUGAGUAACAUCAACUGGAGGACCGAACCGACUAAUGUUGAAAAAUUAGCGGAUGACUUGUGGCUAGGGGUGAAAGGCCAAUCAAACUCGGAGAUAGCUGGUUCUCCCCGAAAGCUAUUUAGGUAGCGCCUCGGACGAAUACUACUGGGGGUAGAGCACUGUUAAGGCUAGGGGGUCAUCCCGACUUACCAACCCUUUGCAAACUCCGAAUACCAGUAAGUACUAUCCGGGAGACACACGGCGGGUGCUAACGUCCGUCGUGGAGAGGGAAACAACCCAGACCGCCAGCUAAGGUCCCAAAGUAUUGCUAAGUGGGAAACGAUGUGGGAAGGCUCAGACAGCUAGGAUGUUGGCUUAGAAGCAGCCAUCAUUUAAAGAAAGCGUAAUAGCUCACUAGUCGAGUCGGCCUGCGCGGAAGAUGUAACGGGGCUAAGCAAUACACCGAAGCUGCGGCAAUGUCUUUUAGACAUUGGGUAGGGGAGCGUUCUGUAAGCCGUUGAAGGUGAAUCGUAAGGUUUGCUGGAGGUAUCAGAAGUGCGAAUGCUGACAUGAGUAACGACAAAGGGGGUGAAAAACCUCCUCGCCGGAAGACCAAGGGUUCCUGUCCAACGUUAAUCGGGGCAGGGUGAGUCGACCCCUAAGGUGAGGCCGAAAGGCGUAAUCGAUGGGAAACGGGUUAAUAUUCCCGUACUUCUGACUAUUGCGAUGGGGGGACGGAGAAGGCUAGGUGGGCCAGGCGACGGUUGUCCUGGUUCAAGUGCGUAGGCUUGAGAGUUAGGUAAAUCCGGCUCUCUCUAAGGCUGAGACACGACGUCGAGCUGCUACGGCAGUGAAGUCAUUGAUGCCAUGCUUCCAGGAAAAGCCUCUAAGCUUCAGAUAGUCAGGAAUCGUACCCCAAACCGACACAGGUGGUCGGGUAGAGAAUACCAAGGCGCUUGAGAGAACUCGGGUGAAGGAACUAGGCAAAAUGGUACCGUAACUUCGGGAGAAGGUACGCUCUUGAUGGUGAAGUCCCUCGCGGAUGGAGCUGACGAGAGUCGCAGAUACCAGGUGGCUGCAACUGUUUAUUAAAAACACAGCACUGUGCAAAAUCGCAAGAUGACGUAUACGGUGUGACGCCUGCCCGGUGCCGGAAGGUUAAUUGAUGGGGUUAGCGCAAGCGAAGCUCUUGAUCGAAGCCCCGGUAAACGGCGGCCGUAACUAUAACGGUCCUAAGGUAGCGAAAUUCCUUGUCGGGUAAGUUCCGACCUGCACGAAUGGCGUAAUGAUGGCCACGCUGUCUCCACCCGAGACUCAGUGAAAUUGAAAUCGCUGUGAAGAUGCAGUGUACCCGCGGCUAGACGGAAAGACCCCGUGAACCUUUACUACAGCUUGGCACUGAACAUUGAACCUACAUGUGUAGGAUAGGUGGGAGGCU
RNAcentral lists this ribosomal RNA (2120 nucleotides) under Vibrio cholerae. Its description in RNAcentral is "partial 23S ribosomal RNA". It matches the Rfam family "Bacterial large subunit ribosomal RNA", at positions 1 to 2156 of the family's 2925-position model. Lineage: Bacteria; Pseudomonadati; Pseudomonadota; Gammaproteobacteria; Vibrionales; Vibrionaceae. The record is from RNAcentral.